GAUGAACGCUGGCGGCGUGCCUAAUACAUGCAAGUCGAGCGAAAAGACGAGGAGCUUGCUCCUCUGACGUUAGCGGCGGACGGGUGAGUAACACGUGGAUAACCUACCUAUAAGACUGGGAUAACUUCGGGAAACCGGAGCUAAUAACGGAUAAUAUAUUGAACCGCAUGGUUCAAUAGUGAAAGACGGUUUUGCUGUCACUUAUAGAUGGAUCCGCGCCGCAUUAGCUAGUUGGUAAGGUAACGGCUUACGAAGGCAACGAUCCGUAGCCGACCUGAGAGGGUGAUCGGCCACACUGGAGCUUGACCACGGUCCAUACUCCUACGGGAGGCAGCAGUAUGGAAUCUUCCGCAAUGGGCGAAAGCUUGACGGAGCAACGCCGCGUGUGUGAUGACGGUCUUCCGAUCGUAAUACUCUGUUACUAGUUAUGAACAACUUUGUACGUAGCUAUGCCCGUCUUGACGGUACCUAAUCAGAAAGCCCCGGCUAACUACGUG
This 497-nucleotide ribosomal RNA is filed under the name uncultured bacterium. RNAcentral describes it as "partial 16S ribosomal RNA". It matches the Rfam family "Bacterial small subunit ribosomal RNA", at positions 28 to 507 of the family's 1533-position model. The record is from RNAcentral.